Molecule: ribosomal RNA, 504 nt
Filed under: uncultured bacterium
Lineage: Bacteria
Description: partial 16S ribosomal RNA
Rfam family: Bacterial small subunit ribosomal RNA
Source: RNAcentral
GACGAACGCUGGCGGCGUGCCUAAUACAUGCAAGUAGAACGCACAGUUUAUACCGUAGCUUGCUACACCAUAGACUGUGAGUUGCGAACGGGUGAGUAACGCGUAGGUAACCUGCCUGGUAGCGGGGGAUAACUAUUGGAAACGAUAGCUAAUACCGCAUAAUAUUAAUUAUUGCAUGAUAAUUAAUUGAAAGGUGCAAUUGCACCACUACCAGAUGGACCUGCGUUGUAUUAGCUAGUAGGUGAGGUAACGGCUCACCUAGGCGACGAUACAUAGCCGACCUGAGAGGGUGAUCGGCCACACUGGGACUGAGACACGGCCCAGACUCCUACGGGAGGCAGCAGUAGGGAAUCUUCGGCAAUGGACGAAAGUCUGACCGAGCAACGCCGCGUGAGUGAAGAAGGUUUUCGGAUCGUAAAGCUCUGUUGUAAGAGAAGAACGGGUGUGAGAGUGGAAAGUUCACACUGUGACGGUAUCUUACCAGAAAGGGGCGGCUAACUACGU